Molecule: long non-coding RNA, 3365 nt
Filed under: Anser brachyrhynchus (Pink-footed goose)
Lineage: Eukaryota; Metazoa; Chordata; Aves; Anseriformes; Anatidae
Description: lncRNA (ENSABRG00000012361.1)
Source: RNAcentral
GCCCAGCCUGUAUUUGUGCUUGGGAUUGCCCAGAGCCAUGUGCAGGACCUUGCGAGUGGCCUUGUUGAAAUUCAUGAGCUACUCACAGGGGUUAAUCAACAUUAUAAAACAGUUUUUUAAAAAAAUAAACAAAAUACUUUUAUUGUGUAGUUCUAGUUAAUGCUUCUCCAUCAUUCUUCUCUGCAGAUAUUUUUAUCUGUACUGUAAUAACUGCCAAUAUGGAGAGAGACAGAGAAAUGCUGCCUUUCAGAAGAGUAGCUUCCAGCCAUGUUAGCUUUGCUGCUUUAGAGGUCUUUCUCUUGAGGUGUUUCUGUUCUGCAUUGCUGGCAGGAUGUCAGAUUCCCUGCAAGCUCAUUUGGACCUGCUGUGGUCUUUGGCACAUCCUCUGGUAUCAGAUACUGCAUUGCUCAUCAGUCCAUGAACUUUUCCAUUUACCAGAGUCUGCACACCACCUUGACAGCAAAACUGUGGCUGAAUGGAUAAAGGGUUGGAGAAUAGCUAGAAGUGCGAAGAGUUUUACCUGUCUCCAAGUGAUAGACAUAAAAUUACAUGCUUUGCAGGAUGAUACCAAAGCCUUACAUUGGCACUGGAAGGAGGUGGGGAUUGAGAUGAUAACAAAGCAGUGGCCUGAAAUAUGGAAGAGACAGACUGUGGGUUUGAACUAGCUGGAGCCAGAAGUGACAAAUGCCCAGCUCAUCCUGACCUCCACACGGGAAGAAAGGGAGAAUGACAGAGGCACUUCGGCUCCCUGGGAAAGACAUGUGAUUCUAUAUGAAUUGAAGUGUCCCUGGAGCCACAGGAAGGGUCUGGCACUCCAUGCUGGCAAGAGAGGUGUUUAAUGCCCAGCAAGAUGAUAGAAUGGGACAUCAGCCUGCGUCUGUGUAAAGGCUUCUGGCAGCACCUGCUAUUUAUCUCUUCUGUACUUGUUUUCAAAAAUAGCUACCUUUCUAUCUGAGUUUCUCUUGCGGAAAUGGAGUUCCUCAUGGUUGGCUCCUGCCUCCCACCUCACUGCUGCUCACUCAGUAUCCCAGGGGUGUCCACCACACAACAGCCUCCCUCCUGCUCCCAAGACAGUUACAGACGUGAGCAUCGCCUCCAUAGGUUUGGGCAUGCGUAUAUGCUUAUGACCAUCACUCAGCCUACUACGUGAAGCUUAAAUUUCAUGGUUCAAGUAACUUGAAAGGGCUGGGGAAGGCAAAUUUUCCAUGGGCAGCAUUUUAAUGUCUCUUCUUGUACUACCAACCCCCAAAAUUCAUCUUCCUCUUGCAUAGCUGUGUCACAUUACCAAAGACAGAUUUCCAUGAGGAAAAGGCACAAGGGAAAAAGGGAGCAAAGAGUGGUAAAUGAAAAGAGUGAAGGCCACAUUCAAAACAAACAGGGUAUGAUUUUUCAUGCAAGGGGUAGUUGUGAAAAUGCUUGAAGGAUGUUGUGGAAAUCAUUGAUUUGUCUGGCUUUGGGGGAAAACUGGAAAAAAAGUAUUGAAAAAGAAACCUGUAUCUUCUUCACUUCUUCCUGCAAAUACUGUACUUUAGAAACAAAACACAGCUUGGGAAGUGAUGCUAUGAGCAUUUACCAACCUUUGAAAGUAUACUAUUAUCUGAGGAAAAAAAAAUGGAAAAAGUUGCCAACUAGAUGAAUUUUUGUCUUUACAUUACCCAAACCUAUAGUGCUAAUCUGUCAUGUUACAUAUUAACAUCAACAUUCAGAGGAAAGUUCUUUGCAAAUUUGUCUUUAGGACAGCCUAGAGAACAUGCUCAGUGAAUGACUUUUUUUUUUCAAUUCACCUCCUCCCUGCAGACAUUUUAGAGUCACAAUAAGCCUGAAGCUGUGCUACUUGAAUAAUGAUCUCAGAUUUUGCAAACUAAGCAGGGUCAGGACCGGGGUUUAUGUGGCUGGAGAAACCUUCAAGCCUAAUCCAGCAGCCCUCAUGAGGUGACAUGAGAAUUUCACGGCUGAACCAAUGCCACUGGAUGGUGGGUGUUACUGAUCUGCUGCUUUUUUACAGAACUUUUCCCUUAGGUAAUACACUUACCUACAUAUGAGGAUAUUCAAUGAUGUAUUUGUGAUUGGGGAGCACUCCACCUAAUGAGAAAGCUUUCAGACUUCUCUUUGGUCAUUAGUCAGAAAGAUCCCAUCAAACCCAGCAAGGGGACCAGAUAAUUUAAAUGUUAAUAUGGGGAGAGGUGAACAUAAAAGCUAUUCACAGCCAAUACAUUCUAUUUGCUCGACGUCUGCUGCAGGGUCUGAAGUGAAAUUAUCCCCAAACAUCUGAGUGCAAAUAGCUGGGACAGAAAAUGGCAAAGUAUUUCUUAAGCCAGUGACAGACCCUUUCAAAAAAAAAGACUCACUGGGGGCUUUAUCAUCAUUCUGUUUCGUACUUUGACAGAGAGACAGUCAUUUGGGGAUUACUGAAUUGUUGUUAUUUUGAAAACUUUGGAAGAGUGAAAGCUGAAAUCUGAGCAGUCAUCAUCUGAUUAUACCAGUUCCUCCUGAAAUGUUAAGUGUAUGUAAUAACGCCUUUUCCUUAUGGAGCCUAGACUGAUGAUAGUCAUGCUGUUAAAGUGCUGCCAUAUUGUGAAAGGGAAGAAGCAGAUGCUUUCUGCUGGGUGGUGUAAUUUUUGUCAGUUAAAUUUUUGUAAAGGUGAUGGGCUCUUUGAAAUGUUAUAUCCAGGAAACUAUCUUGAGUUUGAAUAUUUGCCAUUGGGAUCCACGUACAGAACUGUUGUAUGGUGGGGAAUAACUACCCACCACCACCACCACCUUGUUACCUUACUGAUCCAGUUAUCUCUGAUGGAUACAUGUCACUGCCAGCCUCCAAUUUACCAUAGGUAAGUCGGUCAGUACCCUACCAGUUUCCAUUCUUCCCCCAUAAUUGCCUCUCACAUAGAAAGAAAUGUUUUUUUUAUUACUCUCUGCCAGUGUGUGUUUACCACAUAGCUCAUGUAAUGGAUUUAUUUUCUCUGCUAGCUUGCUGGCAUGUCCGCUUCUUAGUUCAUCAUCUGUUUCUUUCUACAAGGAAGGGCUUCCUAAGUGUGUGUGUGUGUAUAAAAGGGAUGCUGACUUCCAUUUGACAGUCAUUCCUUGCUACUAUCCCCUCAAGUUCAGCUACUUAAGUCUCAAAACUAUGCUGCAGUUGGGUUCAUGUGAAAGACAUAAGGCAGAUAGUUUAUUGAGCAGCAACAUAUUUCAGUUGUUAGCAUUUGCUGCUUUAUAGCCUUGCAUGUAUAAAAUAAGCUUGCAAAAAUUCCCUCAGAAAGGAAUAAUCUGGGAAAAGUGAUUGAAAUUUUGUUACUCUUCAUUUUUCAAAAUUGAAAGCUGUUCUUCAGUCAGAAAUCAACAUUUUAUAAUAAAAAAAAGUUCUUUAA